This 490-nucleotide ribosomal RNA is filed under the name uncultured bacterium. RNAcentral's name for it is "partial 16S ribosomal RNA". It matches the Rfam family "Bacterial small subunit ribosomal RNA", at positions 30 to 507 of the family's 1533-position model. The record is from RNAcentral.
AUUGAACGCUGGCGGCAGGCCUAACACAUGCAAGUCGAACGGUAACAGGAAGCAGCUUGCUGCUUCGCUGACGAGUGGCGGACGGGUGAGUAAUGUCUGGGAAGCUGCCUGAUGGAGGGGGAUAACUACUGGAAACGGUAGCUAAUACCGCAUAAUGUCGCAAGACCAAAGAGGGGGACCUUCGGGCCUCUUGCCAUCGGAUGUGCCCAGAUGGGAUUAGCUUGUUGGUGGGGUAACGGCUCACCGAGGCGACGAUCCCUAGCUGGUCUGAGAGGAUGACCAGCCACACUGGAACUGAGACACGGUCCAGACUCCUACGGGAGGCAGCAGUGGGGAAUAUUGCACAAUGGGCGCAAGCCUGAUGCAGCCAUGCCGCGUGUAUGAAGAAGGCCUUCGGGUUGUAAAGUACUUUCAGCGGGGAGGAAGGGAGUAAAGUUAAUACCUUUGCUCAUUGACGUUACCCGCAGAAGAAGCACCGGCUAACUCCGUG